RNAcentral lists this microRNA precursor (117 nucleotides) under Cynara cardunculus (cardoon). Its description in RNAcentral is "miR6103 stem-loop (cca-MIR6103)". Lineage: Eukaryota; Viridiplantae; Streptophyta; Magnoliopsida; Asterales; Asteraceae. The record is from miRBase by way of RNAcentral.
CAUUCCAUGUCUAAGACAACUCCUUGGAACAUACAUCUGCCUCUUUGCCCCCCUGUAAAUGUUGUUGCAAAGUGCCAGAUGUGUGUGCCAAGAAGUUGUCUUAGGCAUGUUAUGAGC